Molecule: small RNA, 28 nt
Filed under: Bombyx mori (domestic silkworm)
Lineage: Eukaryota; Metazoa; Arthropoda; Insecta; Lepidoptera; Bombycidae
Description: ovarian small RNA-8841
Source: RNAcentral
UGGUCUGGUGGGGUUGAUUGCACCCGAG